AACGAACGCUGGCGGCAUGCCUAACACAUGCAAGUCGAACGAGACCUUCGGGUCUAGUGGCGCACGGGUGCGUAACGCGUGGGAACCUGCCCUUAGGUUCGGAAUAACUCCCCGAAAGGGGUGCUAAUACCGGAUAAUGUCUUCGGACCAAAGAUUUAUCGCCUUUGGAUGGGCCCGCGUUGGAUUAGCUAGUUGGUAGGGUAAAAGCCUACCAAGGCGACGAUCCAUAGCUGGUCUGAGAGGAUGAUCAGCGACACUGGGACUGAGACACGGCCCAGACUCCUACGGGAGGCAGCAGUGGGGAAUAUUGGACAAUGGGCGAAAGCCUGAUCCAGCAAUGCCGGGUGAGUGAUGAAGGCCUUAGGGUUGUAAAGCUCUUUUACCCGGGAUGAUAAUGACAGUACCGGGAGAAUAAGCUCCGGCUAACUACGUG
RNAcentral lists this ribosomal RNA (433 nucleotides) under uncultured bacterium. RNAcentral describes it as "partial 16S ribosomal RNA". It matches the Rfam family "Bacterial small subunit ribosomal RNA", at positions 29 to 507 of the family's 1533-position model. The record is from RNAcentral.